CCAGGGAAGAGGAAGAAUGAGAGGGUUCAAGAGCAGUGGGAGUGGGAACAUGAAGGAAAGAACAAGCUCUAAAUUUCCUUCAAAGGAGAUCUUGCUUGUGUAUUGAUGCCUCCCAUUCCAAUUGUUCUUGGGUGCUCCUUCCCCAUCCUUCUUGGC
RNAcentral lists this microRNA precursor (156 nucleotides) under Leersia perrieri. RNAcentral's name for it is "pre miRNA MIR2118". It matches the Rfam family "MIR2118 microRNA precursor family". Lineage: Eukaryota; Viridiplantae; Streptophyta; Magnoliopsida; Poales; Poaceae. The record is from Rfam by way of RNAcentral.